Molecule: long non-coding RNA, 688 nt
Filed under: Marmota monax (woodchuck)
Lineage: Eukaryota; Metazoa; Chordata; Mammalia; Rodentia; Sciuridae
Source: RNAcentral
CGUCCCGGCGCGGGCCCCGGAAAGGAAGGGAAGCUCGGGUGCCUGCCAGGCCCUGCAGGUGGCCGGGUCGCAGGCCGGCCGCGGGAGCAGCGGUAACUUUACCCGCUGGCGACAGCAGCUGGUCGGUAUCUCGAGGCCGGGCUCUCGGCGACCCAAGGGGCCGGGUUUCGUACAACCAAGGCCUCCAGCUGACAAAUCUCGGGCCAGGGUCCUUGAGGACUGGCGGGUAGGUGAGGGUUAUGUGGUCUUUGGUGGCUGGAAGGAGGAGGGGGCUCACUGAGGCGGGAGAAGACCUGGGAAAGGUGCUGCAGGCUGCAGCUGGGUUAUUGGAGUGUUGAGUGAAGGCGCCCUUACUCUAGUGAUUUCUCCCGCCCUUCUCCCCAGAUGGUUGUAGUUUAAAAAGCUAGGGUCAGGAUGUUGAACACUACUGCCUGGGCUUCUUCCUUUCAGAUGGUUACGAAUAAUCAGCCUACUUCCUGAAUCCAGAAUCUUAAUUCUUGGUUUGCUUUUAAAAGGAUUUUUGGAACAGGGCUUACUUGUUGCCUCCUGCGAAAGCUCCUCAUUUUGAAAGAACUCGUCCGUUCUACACUUCCCUUUUUGCAGUCCCCUCGGAAAAGCACACUAAAUAAGAGUUACAUUAAAAACCAGCUUUUAGGUUAUUUGUAAACGAUUUCUUGCCCUUCCAUUU